AGUGAACGCUGGCGGCAGGCCUAAAACAUGCCAGUCGACCGAACGCACUGUAAGCGUUUGCCUUUCACGGUGGCGUGAGGCGGACGGGUGAGAAAUGGAUAGGAAUCCACUGUUACGCGGCGCAAAACGGGGGGAAAACUCUGCUAAAACAGCAUAAAUCCCACGGAAGAAUACAGGAGUUAUUGGAACUUUGUGCGAUUGUGUUAGACGAUGCCGGAUUAGCUAGUUGGUGGGGUAAAGGCUCACCAAGGCGAUGAUGCGUAGCCGAUUUGAGAGGAUGAUCGGCCACACUGGAACUGAGACACGGUCCAGACUCCUACGGGAGGCAGCAGUAGGGAAUCUUGCACAAUGGGCGCAAGCCUGAUGGAGCAACGCCGCGUGGGUGAAGAAGGUCUUCGGAUCGUAAAACCCUGUUGUUAGGGAAGAAAAGCUGUGGGAGUAACUGUCCACGUUUUGACGGUACCUAAACAGAAAGCCACGGCUAACUACGUG
This 492-nucleotide ribosomal RNA is filed under the name uncultured bacterium. RNAcentral describes it as "partial 16S ribosomal RNA". It matches the Rfam family "Bacterial small subunit ribosomal RNA", at positions 29 to 507 of the family's 1533-position model. The record is from RNAcentral.